This 432-nucleotide unclassified non-coding RNA is filed under the name fungal sp. RNAcentral's name for it is "partial internal transcribed spacer region". The stretch from base 1 to 46 matches the Rfam family "Eukaryotic small subunit ribosomal RNA", at positions 1786 to 1831 of the family's 1831-position model. The record is from RNAcentral. Lineage: Eukaryota; Fungi.
AAGUCGUAACAAGGUUUCCGUAGGUGAACCUGCGGAAGGAUCAUUAACACGUGUCACACACGUCCCGUCCCUUUCAACCAAACCGUGAACUGUACCGCGCCCUACCACGUCCGCUGGAUCCUGGAUCCGAGUGCAUGUCUGGGUGUGACUCGCUGAAGAAGGACUUUGCGCACGCAUGAGGCCUUCGGAUGCAUCACACCUGGCUUCGAGCCCCGCCUUAGCGCUUGCAGAGGCGGGCUAGGCCGGCGGAAGUGGUUUCUAAACACAAGGUCGCUCGCGGCACGCCGAGCGGCCUUUGGCAAGUCAUACUGUGUGUGUGACGAGCCUCGUAUUUUAACCCCAACCCCAAAAAACAAUGACUAAACUUUGGUCUUCUCCGGAAGCCAAUUAUGUAACCUCGAACAACUCUUAGCAGUGGAUAUCUCGGCUCUC